UAGGGAAUCUUCGGCAAUGGACGGAAGUCUGACCGAGCAACGCCGCGUGAGUGAAGAAGGUUUUCGGAUCGUAAAGCUCUGUUGUAAGAGAAGAACGAGUGUGAGAGUGGAAAGUUCACACUGUGACGGUAUCUUACCAGAAAGGGACGGCUAACUACGUGCCAGCAGCCGCGGUAAUACGUAGGUCCCGAGCGUUGUCCGGAUUUAUUGGGCGUAAAGCGAGCGCAGGCGGUUAGAUAAGUCUGAAGUUAAAGGCUGUGGCUUAACCAUAGUAGGCUUUGGAAACUGUUUAACUUGAGUGCAAGAGGGGAGAGUGGAAUUCCAUGUGUAGCGGUGAAAUGCGUAGAUAUAUGGAGGAACACCGGUGGCGAAAGCGGCUCUCUGGCUUGUAACUGACGCUGAGGCUCGAAAGCGUGGGGAGCAAACAGGAUUAGAUACCCUGGUAGUCCACGCUGUAAACGAUGAGUGCUAGGUGUUAGACCCUUUCCGGGGUUUAGUGCCGUAGCUAACGCAUUAACACUCCGCCUGGGGAGUACGACCGCAAGUG
This 547-nucleotide ribosomal RNA is filed under the name uncultured bacterium. RNAcentral describes it as "bacterial SSU rRNA". It matches the Rfam family "Bacterial small subunit ribosomal RNA", at positions 355 to 894 of the family's 1533-position model. The record is from RNAcentral.